GACGAACGCUGGCGGCGUGCUUAACACAUGCAAGUCGAACGGAAAGGCCCUGCUUUUGUGUGGUGCUCGAGUGGCGAACGUGUGAGUAACACGUGAGUAACCUGCCCUUGACUUUGGGAUAACUUCAGGAAACUGGGGCUAAUACCGGCUAGGAGCUCCUGCUGCAUGGUGGGGGUUGGAAAGUGUCGGCGGUUGGGGAUGGACUCGCGGCUUAUCAGCUUGUUGGUGGGGUAGUGGCUUACCAAGGCGUUGACGGGUAGCCGGCCUGAGAGGGUGACCGGCCACAUUGGGACUGAGAUACGGCCCAGACUCCUACGGGAGGCAGCAGUGGGGAAUAUUGCACAAUGGGCGGAAGCCUGAUGCAGCAACGCCGCGUGCGGGAUGACGGCCUUCGGGUUGUAAACCGCUUUCGCCUGUGACGAAGCGUGAGUGACGGUAAUGGGUAAAGAAGCACCGGCUAACUACGUG
RNAcentral lists this ribosomal RNA (468 nucleotides) under uncultured bacterium. RNAcentral's name for it is "partial 16S ribosomal RNA". It matches the Rfam family "Bacterial small subunit ribosomal RNA", at positions 28 to 507 of the family's 1533-position model. The record is from RNAcentral.